This 361-nucleotide unclassified non-coding RNA is filed under the name soil metagenome. Its description in RNAcentral is "partial contains 5.8S ribosomal RNA, internal transcribed spacer 2, and large subunit ribosomal RNA". The stretch from base 1 to 120 matches the Rfam family "5.8S ribosomal RNA", at positions 35 to 154 of the family's 154-position model. The record is from RNAcentral.
GAUGAAGAACGCAGCGAAAUGCGAUAAGUAAUGUGAAUUGCAGAAUUCAGUGAAUCAUCGAAUCUUUGAACGCACAUUGCGCCCGCCAGCAUUCUGGCGGGCAUGCCUGUCCGAGCGUCAUUUCAACCCUCAGGGUCCCUCCGCCUCGCGCGGUCGGAGCCUGGUGUUGGGGAUCGGCCCGCCCCGCGCGGCGCCGUCCCCCAAAUACAGUGGCGGUCCCGCCGCAGCCUCCCCUGCGCAGUAGUUAUCAACUCGCACUGGAGCGCGGCGCGGCCACGCCGUAAAACCCCCGACUUGUAGAAAGGUGACCUCGGAUCAGGUAGGAAUACCCGCUGAACUUAAGCAUAUCAAUAAGCGGAGA